AAAUAUUUCUUGAUUUUUUAUUUUUUUUGGUAUUAAAAUUGAGAUCAAAAGGUGUGGACCUAAAUGAUCAAAUAGCUAGUACUAUCUCGGCAAAGUGGAUAUUGAACUUACAAGGUUUUUCAACUUCUUAGUGUGAAUAUAGAGGUUAGACAUUUGAACAAUAGUAGGGUUUCUACAAUUGAAUCUUGUGUUGGGACGAAAGUGAAGAAAAUUAUAAUUGAGAGUUUCCAUCCUAUCCCUAAACGAGUUUGGUUCACAUCGGGCUUCUCAGGAACAAGUUACUAAAAAUUAAACGCAAGGUAAGAGGUUUUUUUUUUUUUUUUUUAUCAACUUGUUAGAAUUAAAAUUAAAAUUAUAUUUAAUUAAAUCCUAAAUUUUAGGAUUUAAAUUUUAUUUAGUGUUUAAAUUUUAAUUAAUUUAUAAAAUUUCUAGAAUUUAAUUUUAAAA
This is a long non-coding RNA of Gossypium arboreum, 447 nucleotides long. RefSeq lists it as uncharacterized. NCBI's taxonomy places the organism in Eukaryota, Viridiplantae, Streptophyta, Magnoliopsida, Malvales, Malvaceae. The transcript has 2 exons. The record is from RefSeq and is a predicted model, not a curated record.